Molecule: long non-coding RNA, 479 nt
Organism: Cucumis melo (muskmelon)
Lineage: Eukaryota; Viridiplantae; Streptophyta; Magnoliopsida; Cucurbitales; Cucurbitaceae
Exons: 3
Source: RefSeq, a predicted model, not a curated record
UGUUUGUCAUUUUGAUCUAGAAUUUAUAAACAUAGGAAAGGAGAUGGAAGCUGCAUUUGAGAAUUUGAAUAAUGACUCUAUGAGUCUUAAAGCACAGUGAUGGAAGCACUUCUUUAAGAAUGACAGAACCAGAUCCCAGUGGGAUGUUCUCUCGGAUGGCAAUCCAGUUCAAGAGGUUGCUCACAUAUCCAACGGUGUAUCCAAUUCAACACUAUUUUUGGAUCGCUGCUCCACAACUGUUUGGGUCUUACAUAACAUUAAUACAUUGAUGAGAUGUGGGAGUGUUUGUGGUGGCAAAAUUGAAUCUGGGGGUUAGUUGGGAGCUUUGAAUGUGCUAAACCAUUAUUUACUAUUAUUGCCAAAGCAAAGCUCCUGUCAUCCCACUCCCAUUUUACAGCCAAUAUUGUUGUUGUUGUUAUUAAUUGGUUUUGUUUAGUUUAGUUUUGGGAGGAACUUUUCAUGUUCUAUAUCAUAGCUUC